RNAcentral lists this ribosomal RNA (916 nucleotides) under uncultured archaeon. RNAcentral's name for it is "bacterial SSU rRNA". It matches the Rfam family "Archaeal small subunit ribosomal RNA", at positions 4 to 926 of the family's 1478-position model. The record is from RNAcentral.
CCGGUUGAUCCUGCCGGACCUGACUGCUAUCGGAUUGAUACUAAGCCAUGCGAGUCAUUGUAGCAAUACAAGGCAGACGGCUCAGUAACGCGUAGUCAACCUAACCUAUGGACGGGAAUAACCUCGGGAAACUGAGAAUAAUGCCCGAUAGAACACUAUAUCUGGAAUGGUUUGUGUUCCAAAUGAUUUAUCGCCGUAGGAUGGGACUGCGGCCUAUCAGUUUGUUGGUGAGGUAAUGGCCCACCAAGACUAUUACAGGUACGGGCUCUGAGAGGAGUAGCCCGGAGAUGGGUACUGAGACACGGACCCAGGCCCUAUGGGGCGCAGCAGGCGAGAAAACUUUGCAAUGUGCGAAAGCACGACAAGGUUAAUCCGAGUGGUUUGUGCUAAACGAACCUUUUGUCGGUCCUAGAAACACCGAUGAAUAAGGGGUGGGCAAGUUCUGGUGUCAGCCGCCGCGGUAAAACCAGCACCUCAAGUGGUCAGGAUGAUUAUUGGGCCUAAAGCAUCCGUAGCCGGCGCUGUAAGUUUUCGGUUAAAUCUGUACGCUCAACGUACAGGCUGCCGGGAAUACUGCAGCGCUAGGGAGUGGGAGAGGUAGACGGUACUCGGUAGGAAGGGGUAAAAUCCUUUGAUCUAUUGAUGACCACCUGUGGCGAAGGCGGUCUACCAGAACACGUCCGACGGUGAGGGAUGAAAGCUGGGGGAGCAAACCGGAUUAGAUACCCGGGUAGUCCCAGCUGUAAACUAUGCAAACUCAGUGAUGCAUUGGCUUGUGGCCAAUGCAGUGCUGCAGGGAAGCCGUUAAGUUUGCCGCCUGGGAAGUACGUACGCAAGUAUGAAACUUAAAGGAAUUGGCGGGGGAGCACCACAAGGGGUGAAGCCUGCGGUUCAAUUGGAUUCAACGCCGGGAAUC